This 513-nucleotide ribosomal RNA is filed under the name uncultured bacterium. RNAcentral's name for it is "bacterial SSU rRNA". It matches the Rfam family "Bacterial small subunit ribosomal RNA", at positions 11 to 518 of the family's 1533-position model. The record is from RNAcentral.
GUUGAUCCUGGCUCAGGAUGAACGCUAGCUACAGGCUUAACACAUGCAAGUCGAGGGCAGCAUGAUCGAAGCUUGCUUGAUGAUGGCGACCGGCGCACGGGUGAGUAACGCGUAUCCAACCUUCCCUGUAGUAGAGAAUAGCCCGGCGAAAGUCGGAUUAAUGCUCUAUGUUGUAUUUAGAAGACAUCUGAAGAAUACCAAAGGUUUACCGCUAUAGGAUGGGGAUGCGUCUGAUUAGGUGUUGGCGGGUAACGGCCCACCAAGCCCACGAUCAGUAGGGGUUCUGAGAGGAAGGUCCCCCACAUUGGAACUGAGACACGGUCCAAACUCCUACGGGAGGCAGCAGUGAGGAAUAUUGGUCAAUGGACGAAAGUCUGAACCAGCCAAGUAGCGUGCAAGGAUGACGGCCCUAUGGGUUGUAAACUGCUUUUAUAUAGGGAUAAAGUGCACUACGUGUAGUGUUUUGUAGGUACUAUAUGAAUAAGGACCGGCUAAUUCCGUGCCAGCAGCCGC